Molecule: ribosomal RNA, 253 nt
Filed under: uncultured bacterium
Lineage: Bacteria
Description: partial 16S ribosomal RNA
Rfam family: Bacterial small subunit ribosomal RNA
Source: RNAcentral
UACGGAGGAUCCAAGCGUUGUCCGGAUUUAUUGGGUUUAAAGGGUGCGUAGGCGGAUCUUUAAGUCAGUGGUGAAAGCCUGCAGCUUAACUGUAGAACAGCCAUUGAAACUGAAGAUCUUGAAUGUGGUUAAAGUAGGCGGAAUGUAUCAUGUAGCGGUGAAAUGCUUAGAUAUGGUACAGAACACCGAUAGCGAAGGCAGCUUGCUGAACCAUUAUUGACGCUGAGGCACGAAAGCGUGGGGAGCAAACAGG